GUGGGGAAUAUUGGACAAUGGGCGCAAGCCUGAUCCAGCAAUGCCGCGUGGGUGAAGAAGGUCUUCGGAUCGUAAAGCCCUUUCGACAGGGACGAUGAUGACGGUACCUGUAGAAGAAGCCCCGGCUAACUUCGUGCCAGCAGCCGCGGUAAUACGAAGGGGGCUAGCGUUACUCGGAAUUACUGGGCGUAAAGGGCGCGUAGGCGGCUCUGUUAGUCAGGCGUGAAAUUCCUGGGCUUAACCUGGGGACUGCGCUUGAUACUGCAGGGCUUGAGGCCGAGAGAGGGUGGUGGAAUUCCCAGUGUAGAGGUGAAAUUCGUAGAUAUUGGGAAGAACACCGGUGGCGAAGGUGACCACCUGGCUCGGUUCUGACGCUGAGGCGCGACAGCGUGGGGAGCAAACAGGAUUAGAUACCCCAGUAGUCC
Molecule: ribosomal RNA, 425 nt
Filed under: uncultured bacterium
Lineage: Bacteria
Description: partial 16S ribosomal RNA
Rfam family: Bacterial small subunit ribosomal RNA
Source: RNAcentral